CAAUAAAGACCUUUCUGAUUCUGAUUCUCAUUCUGUAUAUAUACAUAUACUGUAUAUAAGGCCAUUAAACACAUGACAUUUAAGGGUUUGGUUUAGAUCAAGCCAAGUGGACGUCUCCUUUAAGCUGUUGCUGAUAUGAUGGGGCUUCUGAUGUUCUGCAGAUGAUAUUCUGGCACUAAACGGAUUGCAACAAACUAGAACUUUCAUGACUUUUGAAAGUUCAAAGUCACAUUUGAUUAAGUUGCUUCCCGGUUCUCUGUGUACUUUUUCUCACAUUGCCUGCUAGACCCCUCUGAAUCACAGCGUCUUUCAAAUGACUGGAUAUAAUAUAAAUGUCUUCCUUUCCUUCUUUACCGGACUGCUCUAUGUACAGAGAGCUUUUCUUCAAGUUCAAACAAUGGAUGAUUACUUGCAAGGUCUUGGCUCUGCUCCUUUGUAUUGUGUUUUUCAACAUUUAACUGAAGCAGCAAAUGAGGUUAACAAGAGAUUCAGAGAGACACUGGCUCAAACAAUGAGAAGCUGCGGAUGGCACAAUGAUGGAUCUGUGUUUAAAUUAAAACCAGCUUUAUCACUUCUCACAAGUUUGCUCAGAGCUUCUGGGUUUCUGUAUCUGAUCCUGUAAAAUCAUAGAGAAAAGAGAAAGAUUGAUGAAAGAAAAAAAAACAUUCUUCUUGCCCAUUAGGAUAGAAUUUAUAGACAAUUAUGGAUAUCAUGAAUGUUAAAAGUAAUUGAUUUCUGGAGCUUCUACAAUUUCCUUUGUACUUUUGCAAAUGGAAAAUUGGACAUGACCGUGAUGAGUUUUCUGAUUUGACAUGUAAAUCUGGAAAACUGGAAAUAAUCUGUUACUCUGUUUCCACUUAAUAUUUCCAAGACAAAAGCGAAAAUGAAAACGGUUUGGCGUUCUGUGAAACCUGGAGGAUAAACAAUGCCAUUUUGCAAGUCAUUCCUCUGAGCAGCAGGCAGAUCACCGCUUUAACCCGUAAGAUGCUUUAAAGCGUAUUAUUCAGGAGUAGUAGAAAUGUAUUUAGCCAUUCAGAAAUGUGUGCAGUCAUUCUUUUUAUGUCUAGAUCUACAGGGGGAUUUCAGGAGUAGAAGUUAAAUAAAGUGACGUGAGCUGUAACUUUACUAUUUUCUAUUUUGAAGCAGGAAUACACCUGACUGUCUAAUGCAAGAAAACACAUAAUCAUUUACAAUUCAGUGUAGAGUAGAAAUUAACACACUGGAGUGUUUUGGGAGGUGGAAGUAAACAGCAGAACCUGGAGGAAACCCCUGAGAACACUAGGAGAAGAUGUGGAACUCCUCUCAGACAUUAACCAAAGCUCAGGAUCGAAUUAGAGACGCUGGAGCAUUUUUAUUUAAUAUAAAAUUUAAUGAUAUUGAAAAUGCGCACAAUUCUGAAUGUAAGCACUGCAGGUCUGGACCUACUGACAUUUUCAAUGCAGAUCUGGACCUACUGACAGAGUUUUAUACGUUAGUGAAUGUAAUCUUAGGAAAGUUUGCUAAUUUUUCCCAGCAAACAUAGUUGGUGCACUAAACUUUUCAUUUAUUUGCGGCUUAAGUAGAACACAAGCGGAGAGAGGAGAUAAAACUGCAGUUUGUGUUUUCCACAUUAAACUGAAAUUAGCUAGCAGUUUCCACUUGUACAUGAUUUUUAGUUUUAUGGUUUAUAUUUACCAUUCUUGGAAUGUCUGUGAAACAAGUUCUUAGUUCUUGUCCUUAUUUAUGUUAUAGCAGCUAUAAACUAUAGUUCCUUCCUCAGCCCCUCUUUUCUCCCUCCUCAAAUCAUAUGAUUGAGAAACCACAGUGUUGUGGAAACACUGGAGACCCCUAUAAAAUUAUUUUAUUUCAAUGAGUUAUUAUUAUUAUUAUUAUUAUUAUUAUUAUUAUUAUUAUUAUUAUUAUUAUUAAUUUACAUAAGCGAAGGAAAGUUCUAAGGCCAUCCUUCACUGUUGGAUUACAUCCACACACACACACACACACACACACACACACACACACACACACACACACACACACACACACACACACACACACACACACACACACACACA
Tachysurus fulvidraco (yellow catfish) is the source of this 2051-nucleotide long non-coding RNA. RefSeq lists it as uncharacterized. The record is from RefSeq and is a predicted model, not a curated record. NCBI's taxonomy places the organism in Eukaryota, Metazoa, Chordata, Actinopteri, Siluriformes, Bagridae. The transcript has 2 exons.